RNAcentral lists this ribosomal RNA (492 nucleotides) under uncultured bacterium. RNAcentral's name for it is "partial 16S ribosomal RNA". It matches the Rfam family "Bacterial small subunit ribosomal RNA", at positions 29 to 507 of the family's 1533-position model. The record is from RNAcentral.
AGUGAACGCUGGCGGUAGGCCUAACACAUGCAAGUCGAACGGCAGCACGGUAAGAGCUUGCUCUUACGGGUGGCGAGUGGCGGACGGGUGAGGAAUACAUCGGAAUCUACUUUUUCGUGGGGGAUAACGUAGGGAAACUUACGCUAAUACCGCAUACGACCUACGGGUGAAAGCAGGGGAUCUUCGGACCUUGCGCGAUUGAAUGAGCCGAUGUCGGAUUAGCUAGUUGGCGGGGUAAAGGCCCACCAAGGCGACGAUCCGUAGCUGGUCUGAGAGGAUGAUCAGCCACACUGGAACUGAGACACGGUCCAGUCUCCUACGGGAGGCAGCAGUGGGGAAUAUUGGACAAUGGGCGCAAGCCUGAUCCAGCCAUACCGCGUGGGUGAAGAAGGCCUUCGGGUUGUAAAGCCCUUUUGUUGGGAAAGAAAAGCAGCAGGUUAAUACCCCGCUGUUCUGACGGUACCCAAAGAAUAAGCACCGGCUAACUUCGUG